GAGUGAUUGGCAGAGCGGCUGAUGCAUCCGGCUUUUAACCGGAAUUAGGUAGGUUCAACUCCUACAUCACUCCCCA
This 76-nucleotide transfer RNA is filed under the name Hormoscilla sp. SP12CHS1. RNAcentral describes it as "tRNA-Lys". It matches the Rfam family "tRNA". From Rfam's summary of the family: Transfer RNA (tRNA) molecules are approximately 80 nucleotides in length. Their secondary structure includes four short double-helical elements and three loops (D, anti-codon, and T loops). RNAcentral also lists the same sequence under 1 other name. Lineage: Bacteria; Bacillati; Cyanobacteriota; Cyanophyceae; Gomontiellales; Gomontiellaceae. The record is from RNAcentral.